RNAcentral lists this ribosomal RNA (708 nucleotides) under uncultured bacterium. RNAcentral's name for it is "bacterial SSU rRNA". It matches the Rfam family "Bacterial small subunit ribosomal RNA", at positions 57 to 765 of the family's 1533-position model. The record is from RNAcentral.
GCAAGUCGAGCGGCAGCGCGGGGGCACCCUGGCGGCGAGCGGCGAACGGGUGAGUAAUGUAUCGGAACGUACCCAGUCGUGGGGGAUAACUAUCCGAAAGGAUAGCUAAUACCGCAUACGUCCUGAGGGAGAAAGCGGGGGACCGUAAGGCCUCGCGCGAUUGGAGCGGCCGAUAUCGGAUUAGCUAGUUGGUGAGGUAAAGGCUCACCAAGGCGACGAUCCGUAGCUGGUCUGAGAGGACGACCAGCCACACUGGAACUGAGACACGGUCCAGACUCCUACGGGAGGCAGCAGUGGGGAAUUUUGGACAAUGGGGGCAACCCUGAUCAGCCAUUCCGCGUGAGUGAAGAAGGCCUUCGGGUUGUAAAGCUCUUUCGGCAGGAACGAAACGGUGGCCCCUAAUACGGGCUACUAAUGACGGUACCUGAAGAAGGAGCACCGGCUAACUACGUGCCAGCAGCCGCGGUAAUACGUAGGGUGCGAGCGUUAAUCGGAAUUACUGGGCGUAAAGCGUGCGCAGGCGGUUAUGUAAGACAGGUGUGAAAUCCCCGGGCUUAACCUGGGAACUGCGCUUGUGACUGCAUAACUCGAGUGUGGCAGAGGGGGGUGGAAUUCCACGUGUAGCAGUGAAAUGCGUAGAGAUGUGGAGGAACACCGAUGGCGAAGGCGCCCCCUGGGUCACACUGACGCUCAUGCACGAAGCGUGGG